Molecule: long non-coding RNA, 2988 nt
Organism: Engraulis encrasicolus (European anchovy)
Lineage: Eukaryota; Metazoa; Chordata; Actinopteri; Clupeiformes; Engraulidae
Exons: 3
Source: RefSeq, a predicted model, not a curated record
AAUGCCAGCGCAGUUCUAUUAAUUUGCAAACCGAUCUACAUAUAUUCGCAAACCCUAUACAUAUUUGUGACUUCCAUUGUAUUUGUGUGUGGAUUUUUGAGACUGUCCUGACGGUAUAUGACACACAAAUGUGCUCAGCCAAUCACAUCAGCCGGCGUUCGAGCGUAAGGUUGAAGACAUUGCGCUUCUAUUACGCAGAGAAGGCUACUAGUGCGAAGCCACCAUAGAUCUUUAUACACCGAUCAGAGGAAAUAACCGGAAGUAGAGCCAUUACUGAAGUGCUCCCUGACGUAAACUCGUAAUUGAAGCGGAUUCCCAGAUUGACGCUCCCAACUCAGGACGCUCCCAUUUCAUCUCGCUCCCACUAGCCAGACUAUCGGUACCACCGCCAUAUGACGGAGCCAGUUAUCUUGUUGAUGUUAGUUUUUUGUUUCUAACCCUAACCUUAACCCUAACCUUAACCCUAAACCUAACCCUAACCCUAAACCUAACCCUAAAUUGCUUGUAUGUGGCAGUAUAUGAUAAUACGUGAAAUAUAAUCGGGUGGGACCGCACGUCCGGGAGUGAUAGAAACACCUGGGACCGCACGUCCGGGAGCGAUCUCAGUUGGGAGUCUCCAUCCGCUUACCACUGAAGCGUAUGAAGUUCCUGACUUUCACAUCAUCUUUGUACAAAUAUGUCUGGAUCUGGACUAACGUGUGCCGUAAUCGGAUGUCACAAUAACAGCAGAACGCUAAAAAUGUGGAAAAAGAGCGUAUGUGCGCUUCAUAGUCCACAGUUUAAAGAGGAUUGUCCUUGUUGUGUGCCCUACGGUGUAAACCGCUUCCCCGGCCGUGCUGAGGAUGAAGACAUUCGCAAGAUAUGGAUUAAAAACGUACACCGAAAGGACUUUGCCCCCAAACAAGUAUUCAAUGGUGUGUGGAGUACACUUCCCUGACGGCAGACCAACGCAGGAACACCCAUAUCCCAUAAUAUGGGAUAUGAAUAUAGUAAAGCACCAUCAUGUGGAAGACCACCCACAAAGAGGAGAUGUCUCCAGCCCCCAACAGAGAGACCAUGUGAUGAGCCUCCUGUGACAAAUUCUGAUACCGAAGUAGGGCAUAGCUUGGAGGAUAGUCUGUCUCCACACCAAUGUGAUGUUGGCACUCAGUGGCCAGAGCGUAGUGAUCAUGAUUAUUGUUCGAUGAAGUCAACAAAAGAUGCAAGCACACAAACAGAUCCUACACCAUCACUGUCAGCUCAUGACAUGGAUGAUAAAGUGUCAAAAUUUUACAUUGGACUAGACAUCAUCAGCUUUUGGCAACUUUUGAACACCAUCAUUGGCUUUCUUCCACAGUCGAAGACGUUCAAAUUAACAGUCCAUGAACAGCUACUGCUGGUCCUAAUGAGGCUUCGGCUUGGCUUAAUGUUCACAGAUUUGGGAUCAGCAGAACUACAGCCUGUGAUAUGUUCGCAAUGUGGAGAGCAACACUUUCCCAAGGGAAAAUCUUUUUUUUGGCUCCCUCGAGACACUCUGAAUAGAGUAAGACCCUCAAGUUUUCUUGAACACUAUCCCAAUGCAACAUGCAUCAUAGAUUGCACUGAAAUAUUUGUCCAAAGACCGAAGAACUUGGGGAAAAGAGCAAAAACAUACAGCAACUAUAAGCAUCACAACACCUACAAAGUCCUCUAUUGCAUAGCCCCCCAAUGGUUUUGUGAUGUAUUGUGUCAAAACUGUUUGGUGCCAGAGCUAGUGACAUUUUUAUCACAAAAAACUGUGGAUUUCUGUCACAUUUGAUUUUUGGUGAUCAGAUUUUGACAGACCGGGGAUUCACAAUUGGAGAUGUUCUUCCUCCAGGAGUGACAUUGGCUAUUCCAGCACUUACACGUUGAUGUACACAACUAUCAGAACAGGAAGUCACAAGAACCCGCCGUCUCGCCAAUGUCCGAAUUCAUGUUGAACGUGCAAUAAGAAGGUUAAAAUGCUUCAAAAUUUUGAGUAAUGUAAUUCCAGGUUGUUUAAAACAUGUUGAUGACAUUUUGACUAUUUGUGCAGGCCUGUGUAACCUUCUUGAAAUCUUACAAACAUGUUUGGCAUACACUACACUUGUCCCUGUCUGUAGGCCUACAUGUCAGCAUCAUCUUCCAACUUGUCAGCGAUAAUAUGCCCAAGAUAUUUUGUACUGCUUGACACACAGUGAUUGCCCUGACAGGUAAAACGUUGGAAAGACUUCCUGAACACAACACUUUUUUUGCAUUGUACUGUAUUUUUUUGCAUUGUACUGUAGGCCUACAUCAAACUCAACCCCAGAGCACACAUUCAGAAGUUGCUGAAACUCAACAGUGCCGGGGGACAUGGGCCUAAUAACCAGAUCAUCAAAUGGUUGAAAACGGUGCAUGUGUUUUAUUGUCUGUGUCUAAAUCUCGUCAUACAUCCAGUGUGUUUUGUUUUUUUAACAGACGUGUUUUCACAAUGACACUCUGAGAAUUUACUUUUGGACAAAGUGUCUUGUGUAUAAAAUGGUGUGCAGACAGCCGGAGUGUGUGUGUUGCGUAAAGGAGCAAGUGCUUUGCAAAGAUACCAGCUGAAAGUGUAAUGCUUGACUUUUGAUUAAGGUAAAGCAGCAUGUGUUUAAGUUAUAGUACCAACAACUGAACAAUAUGCUACUUUGGUUUAAGCAUCGGCCUAUUGUGUUUAAGCAGUAGCCUAGGCAAAAACUGUAACAAAGUAAAAACAAAACAAAGAAAAUAUAACUGGCGAAUGAAUUAAGAACCUGAAUUUUCACCAGCAUUUGACCGGUUGUUAAUUUAAAACAGGCAUGCAUAUAUAUCUAUAUCUAUCUUUAGAAAAUAGGCCUACGUUAACAACAGGGAAUCUUUAUCUUUUCAGGUCAAGGUGGCCUAAGGUGCUGGGGGAAACUCUCUCUCUAGGCUAGGCCUAAUCAGAAAGCAAGGUGUGUGUGUGUGUGUUUUUUUUUUUAAACCUGUCAUUAAAGGGACACUGCAAGA